UCCGCGGUAGCCCAGUUGGUUAGGGCGUCGGCGAUACUGAUGGCAAAGGUCGCAGGUUCAAAUCCUGCCUGCGGAG
Molecule: non-coding RNA, 76 nt
Organism: Phthorimaea operculella (potato tuberworm)
Lineage: Eukaryota; Metazoa; Arthropoda; Insecta; Lepidoptera; Gelechiidae
Source: the annotation of a GenBank genome assembly